AUUGAACGCUGGCGGCAUGCCUUACACAUGCAAGUCGAACGGCAGCACGGGAGCAAUCCUGGUGGCGAGUGGCGAACGGGUGAGUAAAGUAUCGGAACGUGCCCAGUCGUGGGGGAUAACGUAGCGAAAGUUACGCUAAUACCGCAUACGAUCUAUGGAUGAACGCGGGGGAUCGCAAGACCUCGCGCGCUUGGAGCGGCCGAUACCAGAUUAGGUAGUUGGUGGGGUAAAGGCUCACCAAGCCGCCGAUCUGUAGCUGGUCUGAGAGGACGAACAGCCACACUGGGACUGAGACACGGCCCAGACUCCUACGGGAGGCAGCAGUGGGGAAUUUUGGACAAUGGGCGAAAGCCUGAUCCAGCCAUGCCGCGUGCAGGAUGAAGGCCUUCGGGUUGUAAACUGCUUUUGUACGGAACGAAAAGGUUUGGCCUAAUAAGCUGAGCUCAUGACGGUACCGUAAGAAUAAGCACCGGCUAACUACGUGCCAGCAGCCGCCGUAA
Molecule: ribosomal RNA, 500 nt
Filed under: uncultured bacterium
Lineage: Bacteria
Description: partial 16S ribosomal RNA
Rfam family: Bacterial small subunit ribosomal RNA
Source: RNAcentral